UUGUCUGGAGUGCAGUGGCUGGAGUGGAGUGGCUAUUCACAGCUGAGUUUGCAGAGUAAACCACUACCCUGAAAUCUGGAAAGGCAGGUGCACCCAUAGAUCCUCAGCUGAGAUCCAAUUACCUGAAAUAGAAGCUGCCAUUAGGAACACUUAAAAGCUCUGCAGGCUGGAGUUCACCAUUCAGCAUCUGGCAAGAGCUUGGGUAUUAACCAUUUUUGCUUUGAAGAUGGUGCCUUUUCACUGCGUCUUCACAUGGCAGAAGGGAUAAAUGAACUCCAUUGGGCCGCUUUUAUAAGGGCACCAAUCCCAUUCAUGAGGGCUCCGUCCCCAAGAUCUAAUCACUUCCUAAAAGCCCCAUCUCUUAAUACUAUUGCACUAGGGAUUAGGAUUCAACAUUUGGCGAGAACAGAAACAUUUAGGCCAUAACACAGAGCCUGUUCUGCUGGGACACAGAAUCACUUGCUCCAUCUCAUACAUUGAUGAUGAUUAAUUUGUAUGUGUACCUUCCAAAAAAAGAUGGUUGUGUUUGAACGGAGGCCUUCUGGACAGGAAAAUAUGGAGAGUGCGUGCUUUGGAUUCAAGACUGGGAAUGAGGGGACCAGAAACCUAUUCUGUGGCUGU
This 621-nucleotide long non-coding RNA is filed under the name Pan troglodytes (chimpanzee). RNAcentral's name for it is "lincRNA". Lineage: Eukaryota; Metazoa; Chordata; Mammalia; Primates; Hominidae. The record is from RNAcentral.